GCGGGCGUAGUUCAACGGUAGAACCUCAGCUUCCCAAGCUGAUGAUGGGGGUUCGAUUCCCCUCGCCCGCUCCA
RNAcentral lists this transfer RNA (74 nucleotides) under Gammaproteobacteria bacterium. RNAcentral's name for it is "tRNA-Gly". It matches the Rfam family "tRNA". Rfam says of the family: Transfer RNA (tRNA) molecules are approximately 80 nucleotides in length. The record is from RNAcentral. Lineage: Bacteria; Pseudomonadati; Pseudomonadota; Gammaproteobacteria.